AUGCUCGUAUUAAGGAUUAAGCCAUGCAUAUGUAAGUCUAAGUAUAAAACAGCGAGACUGUGGAUGGCUCAUUAAAUCAGUCAUAACCCACACCAUAUUUUACCAGGGAUAACUGUAGUAAUUCUAGAGCUAAUACCGUAUAAAAAUACUGUCCAAAAGGCAGUAGCAAUUAUUGAUCCUUCGAUUCCUAGACUGGUACCCAUUCCGGUCUUUUUUUGGCGAGUCACGAUAAUAUAGCGAAGCGUAUUAACUAGCUUAGACGCUGAUGAGUUCGGGUUUCUGCCCUAUCAACGUGACGGUACCUUAUUGGAUUACCGUAGUGAUAACGGGUGACGGAGAAUUAGGGUUCGGUUCCGGAGAGGGUGCCUGAGAAAUGGCAACUACUUCCAAGGAAGGCAGCAGGCGCGCAAAUUACCCAAUCUUAACACAAGGAGGUAGCGACGAUACAUAACGGCCCGGGUAAAAACCUGUGAUUGGAAUGACCGUAACUUAAAACGCUUAAGAAGGAACAAUUGGAGGGCAAGUCUGGUGCCAGCAGCCGCGGUAAUUCCAGCUCCAAUAGCGUAUAUCAAAGUUGUUGCAGUUAAAAAGCUCGUAGUCAGAAGUCUCGGUCUUCUAAUCAUGGUCUGUCGGGAGAUUGCACUGGAUAUGGGAUACCUAUUUCCCGGUUUGUUUAUCCUGCUCUUAAGUGAGGGGGAUACGACUGCCGGGUAUUUUACCUUGAGUAAAUUACGGUGAUCAAGGCAAGCGUUAGCGGUGAAUAUUUUAGCAUGGCAUAAUGAAACACGGGGUAUCGGUGAAGGGGAAACGUAACUGAUACUCAAUGAUAAAUGGAGAUUGUCGGGGAUGUUGGGAUUCCGUUGUCAGAGGUGAAAUUCUUGGACCGACGGAGGACUCACUGAUGCGAUAGCGUUCAUCAAGGAUGCUCUCAUCGAUCAAGAACGAAAGUUAGGGGAUCGAAGACGAUCAGAUACCGUCGUAGUCUUAACCAUAAACGAUACCGACCAGGAAUUUGAGGGCGUUACACGGAUGACUCCUCCAGCGCCUUGAGAGAAAUCAUGAGUCUCUGGGUUCUGGGGGGAGUAUGGUCGCAAGGCUGAAACUUAAAGGAAUUGACGGAAGGGCACACCAGAAGUGGAGCCUGCGGC
RNAcentral lists this ribosomal RNA (1148 nucleotides) under uncultured soil eukaryote. Its description in RNAcentral is "SSU rRNA". It matches the Rfam family "Eukaryotic small subunit ribosomal RNA", at positions 28 to 1189 of the family's 1831-position model. The record is from RNAcentral.